Molecule: ribosomal RNA, 696 nt
Filed under: uncultured bacterium
Lineage: Bacteria
Description: bacterial SSU rRNA
Rfam family: Bacterial small subunit ribosomal RNA
Source: RNAcentral
AACGCUAGCUACAGGCUUAACACAUGCAAGUCGAGGGGAAACGACAUCGAAAGCUUGCUUUUGAUGGGCGUCGACCGGCGCACGGGUGAGUAACGCGUAUCCAACCUGCCCACCACUUGGGAAUAACCUUGCGAAAGUAAGACUAAUACCCAAUGAUAUCCCACGAAGACAUCUGAAUGGGAUUAAAGAUUUAUCGGUGAUGGAUGGGGAUGCGUCUGAUUAGCUUGUUGGCGGGGUAACGGCCCACCAAGGCAACGAUCAGUAGGGGUUCUGAGAGGAAGGUCCCCCACAUUGGAACUGAGACACGGUCCAAACUCCUACGGGAGGCAGCAGUGAGGAAUAUUGGUCAAUGGGCGAGAGCCUGAACCAGCCAAGUAGCGUGCAGGAUGACGGCCCUAUGGGUUGUAAACUGCUUUUAUAAGGGAAUAAAGUGAGUCUCGUGAGACUUUUUGCAUGUACCUUAUGAAUAAGGACCGGCUAAUUCCGUGCCAGCAGCCGCGGUAAUACGGAAGGUCCGGGCGUUAUCCGGAUUUAUUGGGUUUAAAGGGAGCGUAGGCCGGAGAUUAAGCGUGUUGUGAAAUGUAGAGGCUCAACCUCUGCACUGCAGCGCGAACUGGUCUUCUUGAGUACGCACAACGUGGGCGGAAUUCGUGGUGUAGCGGUGAAAUGCUUAGAUAUCACGAAGAACUCCGAUUG